GAGUUUGAUUCUGGCUCAGGAUGAACGCUGGCGGCGUGCUUAACACAUGCAAGUCGAACGAAGCGGGAAGGAAGAAGUUUUUCGAAAUGGAUUUUUUCUUUGCUUAGUGGCGGACGGGUGCAUAACACGUAGGUAACCUGCCCUGUGCUUGGGAAUAACUCCGGGAAACCGGUGCUAAUGCCGAAUAAUAUCGCCUGUCGGCAUCGAGAGGCGAUCAAAGAAUUUCGGCACAGGAUGGGCCUGCGCCGGAUUAGCUGGUUGGUGAGGUAACGGCUCACCAAGGCGACGAUCCGUAGCCGACCUGAGAGGGUGAUCGGCCACACUGGAACUGAGACACGGUCCAGACUCCUACGGGAGGCAGCAGUGGGGAAUAUUGCACAAUGGGGGAAACCCUGAUGCAGCAACGCCGCGUGAGCGAUGAAGGCUUUCGAGUCGUAAAGCUCUGUCCUAU
Molecule: ribosomal RNA, 451 nt
Filed under: Peptostreptococcaceae bacterium canine oral taxon 071
Lineage: Bacteria; Bacillati; Bacillota; Clostridia; Peptostreptococcales; Peptostreptococcaceae
Description: bacterial SSU rRNA
Rfam family: Bacterial small subunit ribosomal RNA
Source: RNAcentral